CAAUAGCGUAUAUUUAAGUUGCUGCAGUUAAAAAGCUCGUAGUUGGAUUUCGGGUGGGAAUGGCCGGUCCGCCGUUUCGGUGUGCACUUGCUACGCCCACCUUGCUGCCGGGGACGUGCUCUUGAGUUCACGCUCGGGACACGGAGUCGGCGAGGUUACUUUGAGUAUAUUAGAGUGUUCAAAGCAGGCCUACGCUCUGAAUACAUUAGCAUGGAAUAACACGAUAGGACUCUGGCCUAUCUUGUUGGUCUGUAGGACCGGAGUAAUGAUUAAGAGGGACAGUCGGGGGCAUUCGUAUUUCAUUGUCAGAGGUGAAAUUCUUGGAUUUAUGAAAGACGAACUACUGCGAAAGCAUUUGCCAAGGAUGUUUUCAUUAA
Molecule: ribosomal RNA, 377 nt
Filed under: uncultured eukaryote
Lineage: Eukaryota
Description: partial 18S ribosomal RNA
Rfam family: Eukaryotic small subunit ribosomal RNA
Source: RNAcentral